GACGAACGCUGGCGGCGUGCUUAACACAUGCAAGUCGAACGGAAAGGCCCGUGCUUGCUGUGGUACUCGAGUGGCGAACGGGUGAGUAACACGUGGGUAACCUGCCCUGCACUUCGGGAUAAGUUCAGGAAACUGGGGCUAAUACCGGAUAGGAGCACCUCGUUGUUGGUGGGGUUGAAAGUUUUUCCGGUGUGGGGUAUGCUCGCGCCCUUUCUGCUUGUUGGGGGGGUAUUGGCCAACCCCGGCGUCGACGGGUGGCCGGCCUGGGAGGGUGUACGGCCACGUUGGGACAGAGAUACGGCACAGACUCCUGCGGGAGGAAGCAGUGAGGAAGAUUGCACAACGGGAGGAAGACGGAGGAAGCGACGGCGCGUGGGGGAGGACGGCCUUCGGGAUGCAGACUCCGCUCGCCAAGGACGGAUUGUGACGGUAAUGGGAGAAGAAGCACCGGCUAACUACGUG
RNAcentral lists this ribosomal RNA (462 nucleotides) under uncultured bacterium. RNAcentral's name for it is "partial 16S ribosomal RNA". It matches the Rfam family "Bacterial small subunit ribosomal RNA", at positions 28 to 507 of the family's 1533-position model. The record is from RNAcentral.